GGCGGGGCGGGCGGCGCCGAGGGGAUCCCGGGGCGGCCGAGGGCCCCUGACUCGGCUCCGCGCGGCGACAUGGACCGGAUGGCCAGCUCCAUGAAGCAGGUGCCCAACCCCCUGCCCAAGGUGCUGAGCCGGCGCGGGGUGGGCGCGGGGAUCGAGGCGGCCGAGCGGGAGAGCUUCGAGCGGACUCAGGCUGUCCAGGAGGCUCUGCAGAGGGAGGACAGGGGUCCUGGGCAUGGCCACAGUGUGGAGCUGAGCCAGGGGACCUCGGAGAAAAUGAAGGGGGCCUUGAAGAGAGCCCCUGGUCACCUGGAAGCACUUCUCCUUGUCACUCAAGUUGGGGACACCCAGACUGUCAGCAUCAAUAAGGCCAUUAAUACGCAGGAAGUGGCUGUAAAGGAAAAACACGCCAGAACAUGCAUACUGGGCACCCACCAUGAGAAAGGGGCACAGACCUUUUGGUCUGUUGUCAACCGGCUACCCCUCUCUAGCAAUGCUGUCCUUUGCUGGAAGUUCUGCCACGUGUUUCACAAACUCCUCCGAGAUGGACACCCGAACGUCCUGAAGGACUCCCUGAGAUACAAAAAUGAAUUGAGUGACAUGAGCAGGAUGUGGGGCCACCUGAGCGAGGGGUAUGGACAGCUCUGCAGCAUCUACCUCAGACUGCUAAGAACGAAGAUGGAAUAUCACACCAAAAAUCCCAGGUUCCCAGGCAACCUUCAGAUGAGCGACCGGCAGCUGGAUGAGGCUGGAGAGAGCGACGUUAACAACUUUUUCCAGCUAACAGUGGAGAUGUUUGACUACCUGGAGUGUGAACUUAAUCUCUUCCAAACUGUGUUCAAUUCCCUGGACAUGUCCCGCUCGGUGUCCGUGACGGCAACCGGGCAGUGCCGGCUCGCCCCGCUGAUCCAGGUCAUACUGGACUGCAGUCAUCUGUACGAUUACACUGUCAAGCUCCUCUUCAAACUCCACUCCUGUCUCCCAGCCGACACCCUGCAAGGCCACCGGGAUCGUUUCAUGGAGCAAUUCACCAAGUUGAAAGAUCUGUUCUACCGCUCCAGCAACCUCCAGUACUUCAAGCGGCUCAUUCAGAUCCCUCAACUGCCUGAGAACCCACCCAACUUCCUGCGGGCCUCUGCGCUGUCAGAACACAUCAGCCCUGUGGUGGUCAUCCCGGCCGAGGCCUCGUCCCCGGACAGCGAGCCCGUCUUAGAGAAGGAUGACCUCGUGGACAUGGAUGCCUCCCAGCAGAAUUUAUUUGACAACAAGUUUGAUGACAUCUUUGGCAGCUCAUUCAGCAGUGACCCCUUCAAUUUCAACAGUCAGAACGGCGUGAACAAGGAUGAGAAGGAUCACUUAAUUGGUCAACUAUACAGGGAAGUCAGUGAGCUGAAGGCACAGCUGGAGAACAUGAAGACUGAGAGCCAGCGGGCCGUGCUGCAGCUGAAGGGCCGGGUCAGCGAACUGGAGGCUGAGCUUGCAGAACAGCGACAUCUGCGGCAGCAGGCGGCUGAUGACAGCGAGUUUCUCCGGGCCGAGCUGGACGAGCUCAAGAAGAAGCGCGAAGACACGGAGAAGGCCCAGCGGAGCCUGACCGAGAUAGAAAGGAGAGCCCAAGCCAAUGAACAGCGGUACAGCAAGCUAAAGGAAAAGUACAGUGAGCUGGUGCAGAACCACGCUGACCUGCUGCGGAAGAAUGCAGAGGUGACCAAACAGGUGUCCGUGGCCAGGCAAGCCCAGGCGGAUUUGGAACGAGAGAAAAAAGAGCUAGAGGACUCCUUCCAGCGAAUAAGUGACCAGGCGCAGCGGAAGACUCAAGAACAGACGGAAGUACUAGAGAGCUUGAAGCAAGAACUUGCCACCAGCAAACAGGAACUCCAGAUUGUCCAAGGCAGCCUGGAAACUUCUGCCCAGUCAGAGGCAAAGUGGGCCGGCCAGAUCGCCGAGCUUGAGAAGGAGCGGAGCAGCUUGGCGCAUGCCGUGGCUCGUCGGGAGGAAGAGUUAUCCGCUCUUCAGGAACAGCUCGAACACACCCAGCGGGAACUGUCCAGCGCAAGGGAAUCCGCGUGCCAGGUCGCCAAAGACCAACGGAAAAUGCUGCUGGCAGAGUCAAGGAAGGCCGCAGAGCAGGUGGUCCAGGAGGCCCUGCGGCAGCUCGAGGAGCCCACUCUGAUCAGCUGUGCCGGCUCUGCAGAUCACCUUCUCUCCAAGGUCAAGUCUGUUUCCAGCUGCCUCGAGCAACUGGAAAAAAGCUGGAGCCGCUACCUGGCCCACCCAGAAGAUAUCAGUGGGCUCCUCCACUCGGUCACCCUCCUUGCCCACUUGACCAGUGACACCAUGGCUUACGUGAGCACCACCUGCCUUCGAGCCCCGCUGGAACCUGCUGACUCGCUGACUGAGGCCUGCAAGCAGUUUGGCAAGGAAACCCUCCUCUACCUGGCUUUCCUGGAAGAGGAAGGAACGCGGGAAAAUGACGGCACGGCCGUGAAGAGCUGCCUCAACAGGAUCUCUGCCAUUACCGAGGAGCUCCUGCCCAGAGGCCUGGACAUCAAACAGGAGGAGCUGGGGGACCUGGUGGACAAGGAGAUGGCUGCCACGUCAGCUGCCAUCAAAACUGCUACGGCCAGAAUCGAGGAGAUGCUCAGCAAAUCCCGAGCUGGAGACACAGGAGUCCAGUUGGAGGUGAACGAAAGGAUCCUUGGUUCCUGUACAAGCCUAAUGCAAGCUAUUCAGGUCCUGAUCGUGGCCUCGAAGGACCUCCAGAGAGAGAUAGUGGAGAGUGGCCGGGGCACAGCAUCACCUAAAGAGUUUUAUGCCAAGAAUUCCCGAUGGACGGAAGGACUCAUCUCGGCCUCCAAAGCUGUGGGCUGGGGAGCCACUGUCAUGGUGGAUGCAGCCGAUCUGGUGGUGCAAGGCAGAGGGAAAUUUGAGGAACUGAUGGUGUGUUCGCACGAAAUCGCUGCCAGCACAGCCCAGCUUGUGGCUGCCUCUAAGGUGAAAGCUGACAAGGACAGCCCAAACCUGGCCCAGCUGCAGCAGGCCUCCCGGGGGGUGAACCAGGCCACCGCCACUGUCGUGGCCUCCACCAUCUCGGGCAAAUCCCAGAUUGAGGAGACAGACAAUAUGGACUUCUCCAGCAUGACACUGACCCAGAUCAAACGCCAGGAGAUGGAUUCCCAGGUCAGGGUGCUGGAGCUGGAGAAUGACCUGCAGAAGGAGCGUCAAAAGCUGGGAGAGCUUCGAAAAAAGCACUACGAGCUCGCUGGUGUUGCCGAGGGCUGGGAAGAAGGAACCGAAGCGUCUCCACCUGCACUGCAUGAAGCGGACACCGGAAAAGAAUAGAGCCACGUCGACACCCCACACGUCCGAGUGUAAAUCUUGUGGCCUGUCUGUCCUUUUCUGUUUCACCAUCUGCACCAACUCGUGAGCGUCAGAGGGCUGGCGGGGCGCCAAGCCAGGACGCCGUCCUAAAUCUGUGCCAACUGAACAGCGGGAGCGUCCUGGCCGAGCACGCUGAGGCAACUCUCCCCUCUCUUGGCAGUUCCAUGGAUUUCCCACUGCUUCUUAUGGUGGUUGGUUGGGUUUUUGUUUUUGUUUUUGUUUUUGUUUUCUUCUUUCAGCGUUCCCUCAUAGAGCCAACUCUCCCAAAGGGAGCACCCCUGGAGCUCUGAGCCAUCGGGGGCCCCUAACCACAGCAGUUAACAGCAAUGGUGCUGCUCAGGCUUCUCCUUGGUGCUCCACACCAGCCUCCAUGCUGAGUGUCCCGCUGAGCGAGUCUGGGGCAGCCGAGGCCUCUCCCCAGAGGUGGGCACCGCGGCUCGGCCCCACUCUCCUCCAAGGGCAGAAGCAGAGCGAGUGCCUUUCCUUCCUAAAGCGAGAGCCCAGCUGAAAGCCUCUGACCGGGGGUAAAGAAGGCGGGAAAGGAGGGGUGCACACAACCCAGGCCUCAGGAGACCCCUUUCUUGGGAACUUCUGGUGCCCAGGCUGAAAAACCUUAUCAUGUGCUUGAGUGUGCUGGGGAGAGUAGCCACCUUCUUACCCCAGAAUGAAUUUUCCGUGCCACCUCCCUUCAGGCCCAGGUGGGACCCUGAGAGGGAGCACGUGAGGGCUUUUCCAACUCCUCUCUCCAACUGGCCGCCUGGGCAUCCUCUUGAACCUGAAGAAGAUAAUUCCAUGUUCUACCUAAGGGACAGACCCAGAAGAUCAGGCAGAUUUGCUCCCGGCAGGAAAGAACCCUGUGCUUGGUUGGGUACCUUUAAUAUUUAUUACUAACCUCUGUUCGGCGGCGGCGGCAGCCUCCAGAAAGACGCUUUGAGCAAUCAGGAUUUGAGGUGUGGUGAUGGUGGGGCUGCAUGGCUGCCCCAGGUCAUGAGUCUUCAAGAAUCAGACACCAGGCCAACAUGCUUCCCAGUCUGUUACUGGCCUAGACCCCGAGGCAAGCAGGUUCCUCAGAGCACCUGGGUCAGGGAAACCGAGAAAGGGAGACCACUGGCUCUGAGCCUUCCAGCCACACGUCCCGGGCCCUUGCUGCCUGGACAGGAUGAGGACAGAGGGCACAUUAACGGCUUCCUAGGGGCGGGCAGCCUGACAGCACUUGUCCACCUCCAGACAGACAGACCCCAGCAUUUAAGUGACCUUCCGAUCUUGGACAAACGGUAUCUUCCUUCCUUAUCUGUAGCAACUCCUAGGUAGAAGCCAACAAGCACUUCCCAGGACCUGUCCCACAGGAGCAUUGCUAAGUGUUGCUAUGUGAUAGGUGGCGAGGUCCCUGUUUGAUCACUGUGAAUCAACCGCCCUCCUUCCCCCCCCACCCUCCCCCUCCCUCUCUGUGCAUUUUCUAAGUAGGGCACUCAAAAAACACUCUCCCAGUAGCUCAGAUUCCAAGACUCAGACAGGUGAUCACGUUGGGCUAAAGAGGGGUCAGCCGCAGAAGAUAAGCGGUCUUACGCUUAACACUUCUUUGUGCUCAGCGUUUUUCCAUCCGGGGCUCAGAAGGAGUGGUGCGUGGCGCCCCUGGCCCAGUUGUGCCAAUUAAGCCAAUCGGUGCGGUCUCAGAGUGGGUCAGCAUUUCCACAGCGGACUAGUCCUCACUUCCAGAAUCUCGGCCGAACUGUUGUGCUCCGAAUUACCAGUGGUGAGAAAAAUCUAGUAUAUUGGACCACACUGGGAUUCUCUGAAUAAUGUUCCCUCUAAAAAGAAGCCACAGUAAUUUUUAAAAUCUUUGCGGACUUCGCCUGAGUAAUAAGACCGUGAAGAAAGAGAUUAAACAGGAACACAAGCUAAUCCCGUGUCACACAAGAAGUAUCCGUCGGGGGUAGCGUAGUAUUUGUCCUCGCUUGCCUUAGGAGCUGGCCCAUCCUCUAGCCAAAAUCAAAUUGUCCUACCUUGGCUUUUCUCAAGUAAGGGUGUUUAUACUUGGUGUGAAAUACUUGAUUCAAACAGGAAUGACAUCCUAAGGCUAAAAAUGAACCUCAUAGCCUUUUAAAGUAGUCACUGAGCAUCCUGAGUGACUGAAGUCCCAUGGGCCAGUGUAAUUGGGUCACAGCAAGGCAGAACAACAAAAGAUGGCUUAGGACUGAUGAGAGGUUGAAAGACAGGCGUAUCCCUUAUUUAAUUUUCUAUACAGUUGCUCUAAUAUCUCUAGAGUAAGGGGGUAUGUGUACAUAAUAAGGAAAAAAAAAGGUAGAAAAGACCUGCCUUUUGUGGGGUUCUUUUAUAUCUGAGUCAGGAGUUUAAAUUAGACUGUAAUUUAGAUUGUUGCCUAGUUCUGCCGCUGACAGCAAGAUCCCUAGGGUCCCACCUGAAUCUAAGUCCCUAAUCCAGUGGCUGGAAGAACCAAACAUUGCCCAGAAUGUCCUUAACGUUGGAAGUGUUUGAGCUGCCAAGUCAACACCAGGGUUAACCAGGUACCACGGGGGUCACAAUGCAUGUCGUUCAUCCUCAGAUUGGCUUGCUU
RNA transcript from Mirounga angustirostris (Northern elephant seal), 5953 nucleotides. It is a transcript of the gene named huntingtin interacting protein 1, with no coding region annotated. Lineage: Eukaryota; Metazoa; Chordata; Mammalia; Carnivora; Phocidae. The record is from RefSeq and is a predicted model, not a curated record. The transcript is spliced from 33 exons.